RNAcentral lists this long non-coding RNA (224 nucleotides) under Mytilus galloprovincialis (Mediterranean mussel). The record is from RNAcentral. Lineage: Eukaryota; Metazoa; Mollusca; Bivalvia; Mytilida; Mytilidae.
CCUUGCUUUCUUUUCUAUUUCGCUCAAGCUGAUUCCAUGUUCUUUCAUUUCAUCUUCGACUGUUCUUCUCCAAGUUGUGUUUAGAGUCCUUUCUUUCUUUUCCCCUCAUGUGUCCAUCUUAAGGCGACCCUGGUUAAGUCCUCUUAUGGUCUUCUUAGAACAUGGCCAAUGAUCCAUCUCCAUCUUUUUCGCUUUGAACAGUAGAGGUUCCAUGUUGUUUCAUG